GCAGCUCAGCGGUAGAGUGUCUGCUUUGCAUGCAGAAGUUCCCAGGUUCUAUCCCCAACGUCUCCA
This is a non-coding RNA of Podarcis lilfordi (Lilford's wall lizard), 66 nucleotides long. NCBI's taxonomy places the organism in Eukaryota, Metazoa, Chordata, Lepidosauria, Squamata, Lacertidae. The record is from the annotation of a GenBank genome assembly.